GCUUGUUGGUGAGGUAAUGGCUCACCAAGGCGACGACGGGUAGCCGGCCUGAGAGGGUGACCGGCCACACUGGGACUGAGACACGGCCCAGACUCCUACGGGAGGCAGCAGUGGGGAAUAUUGCACAAUGGGCGAAAGCCUGAUGCAGCGACGCCGCGUGAGGGAUGACGGCCUUUCGGGUUGUAAACCUCUUUUCAGUAGGGAAGAAGCGAAAGUGACGGUACCUGCAGAAGAAGCGCCGGCUAACUACGUGCCAGCAGCCGCGGUAAUACGUAGGGCGCAAGCGUUAUCCGGAAUUAUUGGGCGUAAAGAGCUCGUAGGCGGUUUGUCGCGUCUAUCGUGAAAGUCCGAGGCUCAACCUCGGAUCUGCGGUGGGUACGGGCAGACUAGAGUGAUGUAGGGGAGACUGGAAUUCCUGGUGUAGCGGUGAAAUGCGCAGAUAUCAGGAGGAACACCGAUGGCGAAGGCAGGUCUCUGGGCAUUAACUGACGCUGAGGAGCGAAAGCAUGGGGAGCGAACAGGAUUAGAUACCCUGGUAGUCCAUGCCGUAAACGUUGGGCACUAGGUGUGGGGGACAUUCCACGUUUUCCGCGCCGUAGCUAACGCAUUAAGUGCCCCGCCUGGGGAGUACGGCCGCAAGGCUAAAACUCAAAGGAAUUGACGGGGGCCCGCACAAGCGGCGGAGCAUGCGGAUUAAUUCGAUGCAACGCGAAGAACCUUACCAAGGCUUGACAUGUGCUAGAUCGCCAUAGAAAUAUGGUUUCCCCUUUGGGGCUGGUUCACAGGUGGUGCAUGGUUGUCGUCAGCUCGUGUCGUGAGAUGUUGGGUUAAGUCCCGCAACGAGCGCAACCCUCGUUCCAUGUUGCCAGCACGUAGUGGUGGGGACUCAUGGGAGACUGCCGGGGUCAACUCGGAGGAAGGUGGGGACGACGUCAAAUCAUCAUGCCCCUUAUGUCUUGGGCUUCACGCAUGCUACAAUGGCCGGUACAAUGGGUUGCGAUACUGUGAGGUGGAGCUAAUC
Molecule: ribosomal RNA, 1021 nt
Filed under: Arthrobacter sp.
Lineage: Bacteria; Bacillati; Actinomycetota; Actinomycetes; Micrococcales; Micrococcaceae
Description: bacterial SSU rRNA
Rfam family: Bacterial small subunit ribosomal RNA
Source: RNAcentral